Falco peregrinus (peregrine falcon) is the source of this 2325-nucleotide long non-coding RNA. RefSeq lists it as uncharacterized. The record is from RefSeq and is a predicted model, not a curated record. Lineage: Eukaryota; Metazoa; Chordata; Aves; Falconiformes; Falconidae. The transcript has 5 exons.
GAAAAUAUUUCUGUUUCUGAAAGGAUGGGCAUUGCUGCUGACAAGGAGUGAACUCUUUCUUUCCAUAGACAAACCCCCAAAUGUCUGUUCUGGCUUUAAGUAGAUAUUAGCUUCAGCCUAAGGAAAACAGCAACAAAUCAGGAAAACCGAGUUUCCUGCAGAAAGCCCGGUGUUUGUCUGUCCGGUAACGGACUGCUAAUUCCAGGAAUAAAACAGCUGCUAUCCUUGCACGCAGGCAGUUGUCUUGGACUUUAAAGAGGAAAUGAAAUGGGGAAAGGAAACAAAAAAUAUUAAAACAUCACGUAUAAAACCAUGCCAAAGGUAUAGAGAAGCAGAAGUUCUCAUUCAGUGAAGCAUUACAUGAUUGCUCGAUAGGUCAGCAAGUACUGCAGGUGAAAUUCUGAGUUCUCUGAAGCGGAUUGUUAAAACUUGGAGGCUGGGGCUUGCUCACAUUUUGCCUAAAAUGCUUAGCCUGCUUUCAUGCUGUUUAUGGGGGAGACUGAGUCCUGACCCAUGGAAAAACGAUGCCUGAGAUGCAACCGGCACUAAGUCAAGGUGGUCCCACAAGUACAAAUUCAGGAAACAAGUACAAAAUCUAGGAAAAAGCGAUCAGCAAGACAGUUUCUGCUAUUGAUUGGGUUGAAACAGAAAGUUUUAAUUCUGUGGGAACUUGCAUAGCCCCCAUUACGUUAUCAUCUUGGUGGUGCUUCAUCACCUGUAUUGCAUUCAUUCUCAUGCAGCCGUAGGAGAUGCAGGUGUCUCCUGGCACAGGUGAAGAACAUAAUGAGAGACAACAGAGAGAGAUUUACUAACAUCCCUCAGCCUGGCUGGUCUUGCCUGUAAAAGGUCUUGCCUUUGGUUGUGGUUUAAGUGUUGAUGCAGGGUCUUUUCUUGGUGUACUUUUCUGCUGUCUCUGCCCCUUCCUGGCAUCAAGAGCAGAUUGGCUUCCUCUGUAGUAGGGAUGCUGUGUGACACUGAAGAGCAACAUCCUGAGGAUUUAUUUUUGAAGCCAGUGUCAUGGCUGGGAGAGGCCUGAGUUGUAGUUGUCUUCAGACUGGAGCCAGUUCCCAUGUCUCAGCUUUGCAGAUGCGCAGGGACACCUCACGCUGGCCUGAGAGCAAGCCAAUGCAUGGAGACCGUUGCACCUGUGAAAGCCUGCAUAUGCAAACCAUCUUGUACAAGCAGUAAUUCACUCUGUGAUUACUUCUGUUGCUGCCGCAGCAUCGUCCACUCUCAGAAGGCACAUUAAUUACUGUAUCAGGAAAACCUGAUGGAAGCAGGAGACCAUCUUCAUGCCUAAAACUAAUUAAAUGAAAAGGCAGAGCUCACUAGACCUGGAGUUCCUCGCUCAUGCAAGGGGUGAGGGCUGCGCGGUGAAUGUGUGUUCCAGCAGACCCCAGGGAAGUCUGGUGUUUGACACAACUCGCAAAGGAUCGCAUGAAGUUUCCCACCAGGACUUUGCAUUGGGGAGUGAGGAACGAAAUGGAGCAAAUCUUACCCUCCGGGACUGGAGGACAAAGAAACCUAAGGAGCACCUGAGUGCUAUCGAUGGUAUGAAAUGCCAGAGGACAUAGGAGCUCUGCUUCUCUGGUCCCAUGGAGGCUUUUUAGCAUGAAUCAUGCUAAAGCAGCAAUCCCCAUGAAAUGAGGACAGCUUCCAGCACAGGCUGACGAGUAGUUAUUUUUCCUCCUGCUGCUGAAGCCAUUGGAAAAGUCUGAUUGAUCCAGGAUGUCAUGUCAGAGCCUAAUUCCCCUUUUUGCAAACGCCCAUAUGCUCAUGUUUAGUGCUUAAUAAAAGGUAAGCUCCAGUCAAUGGGAAAAUGUGCUUAAGAGCUUUAUUCGCUUUCUUAAGUGCUUUGCUGGGUCUGGCCCCAUGCAACGUGUCAAGCACCCAUUAGUCUCAUCUUUUAUUGCUGUAAUACAGAUAGCUCCUCGGAAAUAACCCUUUCAACACAAAGGUGGGGUUUUUUUGGAGGGAAAGCCACCCUGUGCACGUGCACUUACUAAUAAUGACAUGCAUUUGGGUGAUGCUCUGGCUUUCUGCUCUGAGGAAAUAAAGGGAGGAAACAUGAUGGUCUUGGAGUAGGUACAAAGCUGUCAGGCGCCUGGCUCGGGUGAAGUUGCAGAAAGCGUUUCUCUUUGUGUUGCAGGGCCUGGCAGCCUGGUGAGAUAAUAAAAGAUAAAGCAAACUGUACGACAAUGGAAAAUGCUGAGCUCCCUGAGUAAUUAAAGGUUGUGUAAGAUGGUCGCAUGGCUUGCGAGGCUUAUUAAUACAGUCACGUUUGCAUUAUAUAAAGGGUAAUUAAAAUGCAGCCUGCUUACCAUU